RNAcentral lists this ribosomal RNA (459 nucleotides) under uncultured bacterium. Its description in RNAcentral is "partial 16S ribosomal RNA". It matches the Rfam family "Bacterial small subunit ribosomal RNA", at positions 29 to 523 of the family's 1533-position model. The record is from RNAcentral.
AACGAACGCUGGCGGCAGGCCUAACACAUGCAAGUCGAACGAUAAGCCACCUUCGGGUGGUGGACAGUGGCAGACGGGUGAGUAACGCGUGGGAACGUGCCUUUCGGUUCGGGAUAACCCAGGGAAACUUGGGCUAAUACCGGAUACGCCCGUCGGGGGAAAGAUUCAUUGCCGAAAGAUCCGCCCGCGGCGGAUUAGCGAGUUGGUGGGGUAAUGGCCUACCAAGGCGACGAUCCGUAGCUGGUCUGAGAGGAUGACCAGCCACACUGGGACUGAGACACGGCCCAGACUCCUACGGGAGGCAGCAGUGGGGAAUAUUGGACAAUGGGCGAAAGCCUGAUCCAGCCAUGCCGCGUGGGUGAAGAAGGCCUUAGGGUUGUAAACCCCUUUCAGCGGGGACGAUAAUGACGGUACCCGCAGAAGAAGUCCCGGCUAACUCCGUGCCAGCCGCCGCCGUAA